Molecule: unclassified non-coding RNA, 6312 nt
Organism: Octopus bimaculoides (California two-spot octopus)
Lineage: Eukaryota; Metazoa; Mollusca; Cephalopoda; Octopoda; Octopodidae
Source: RefSeq, a predicted model, not a curated record
AGCCCUUUACCGUCACUACGAAGCGGAAGUGACGUAAAUAAUGUCUUUGCUAACACAGUAAAAUGUGGUUACGCAUGGAAGAACUUUGAGCACCGAUGUACAAUGUAUGUAAUCAUCAAAUAUACUUUUAAACGCCAAAUUUCUGGUGAUUGAAUUGGAAAAUUUUACUCUAUAGUGAUUAAAUAAUUUCCUGUACAUACUUAAAGGUGGGAAAUAUUUAUCCAGCGCAGCAAAGAAUUUCCAAGAAAGAAUAUCAGAUGACACUGGCGUCAAAGGAAUUUUUAUACUUCAGAUACAUCAUCAUUAUUUAUCAUCUUUUAAAAACUAAAGGCAAGAUGUUAUACUGAAUAGACUGAUAUAGUCCUCUUUAUAGAAAUUUAUGGUCGAAUUACUACAAAAUAUUUCUUCUGAAUGAGAUUAAUAACAAAGAUUUCUCUACUUCACUAUUUGGAAUGUGUGGAACAAAAUGAUUUUGUUUUCAAAUAAACUUGGUCAAAUUUAUCAAGAAGUUUGUAGCCUCUUUAGAUAUCAGCAAAGACCACAGUUGUACAGUUGAUAGAGAUAUAUCCGAAAAAAUAUUUGUUAGUAUUAAAUAAGGAGAAAGCUAUUGUAUGGUGCUGAAUGAAAGAAAAUUAUGGAAAGUGAAUUAUGUAAGAACAAGGUAAAAUUUCAAACAGUGAGAAGGACUGAUUUUUCUGGAGAGGGAGUCAAAAUAUAUCACUGUGAAGUCUGUAAAAAAUCAUUCUCUCAUAAAGGAAACCUAACUACCCACAAACAUAUUCAUACAGGAGUGAAACCAUAUCACUGUGAUAUCUGUGGUAAAUCAUUCUCUCAUAAAAAUAAUUUGACUGAACACAAGAGCAUUCAUACAGGAGAGAUGCCAUACCAUUGUGAUAUCUGUGGUAAAUCAUUCUCUUUACGUAGUAGCUUAAUUAAACAUAGACGUAUUCAUACAGGAGAGAAGCCAUAUCAUUGUGAUAUCUGUGGUAAAUCAUUCUCUCAUGGAAAUACUUUGACUAUACACAAGCAUAUUCAUACAGGAGAGAAGCCAUACCAUUGUAAUAUCUGUGGCAAAUCAUUCUCUGGAAGUUGUAACUUAACUACACACAAACGUAUUCAUACCGGAGAGAAACCAUAUCACUGUGAUGUUUGUGGUAAGUCAUUCUCUCAAGGAAGUAACCUAACAAGCCAUAGACAUAUUCAUACAGGAGAGAAACCAUAUUACUGUGAUAUCUGUGGUAAGUCAUUCUCUCAAAAUGAUCACUUAACUAAACACAAACGUAUUCAUACAGGUGAGAAACCAUAUCAUUGUGAUAUCUGUGGUAAAUCAUUCUCUGAAAAUUGUAACUUGACUAAACACAAACGUAUUCAUACAGGAGAAAAGCCAAAUCAGUGUGAUAUCUGUGGUAAAACAUUCUCCAUAAGUUGUAAGUUAAUUACUCACAAACGCACUCACACAGGGGAGAAGCCAUAUCACUGUGAUAUUUGUGAUAAAUCCUUCUCUCUAAGUAGUGUCUUAACUAAACACAAACAUAUUCAUACAGGAGAGAAGCCAUUUCAUUGUGAUAUAUGUGGUAAAUCAUUUUCUGAAAAUGGUGGGUUAACUAGUCACAUACGUAUUCAUACAGGAGAGAAGCCAUAUCACUGUGAUAUCUGUGGCAAGUCAUUCUCUGGAUCUAGUGACUUAACUAAACACAAACGUAUUCAUACAGGAGAAAAACCAUAUCACUGUGAUAUCUGUGGUAAAUCAUUCUCUCAAGGAAGUAACUUAACUAGCCAUAGACAUGUUCAUACAGAAGAGUAACCAUAUCGUUGUCAACAGACAUUCUUUAAAAAUGAAAGUUAUCUAACAAUAAUUUUUUCACACAGGAAACAGGAUAUAACUUUGAUAAAUAACCAAUUCUAUAUAACCACAACUAUAUCUUCACUGGUGAGAUAACUUACCUCAUUGAUAUUUUUAAUAGAAACUAUAACAUGCUUCUGGAAUACUCAUAUUUUGUGUAACAUGUAUUUUCAUGAGAGAGAUGUGAUACAUCUGUUUUAUUUGAUGUGUAAAAAUAUAUAUUCAUAUAUCAUAACUAAAGUCACUGUAUAGUUAUAUUAUGAAUAAAUACACAAAGUAUAAAUGAAAAUAUUUCAUCAUACAAUAAUAAGAUCUAUGUUUAACGACUCAUAUUCUUGUUCUUAGAUUCAUUCUUUCAUGUGUUAUCUAUCAAUAUUUCUCAUUCGAUUUCAUCCAUGCUUUGCAAAUAAAUAUAUCACUUAUGUUCCACGGAAAGUUCUACACUGUUUGGAUUUGUCACUGGGGCAUCUAGGUUCAGAAGGUCAGAAAAACCUUCUAUAGUGAUUAUUGUGGACAAAAGAGGUAACUCUUUGCUAAGUAACGGGCAAAAAUUGAUUGUCUCCCUUACACCGGAAGGUGUGUGUGUGUGUGUGUGGCCUCAAUCUCAGAAACAUCCUACAACGUACACAGUUCGGUAAAUUCCGUAAAAAAUUUUUAUUUAUUUAUUUCUGUGGCUGGAAAUGUACAUUUCGUUUGAUGUCAGCAUAAAGUGACAUCAUGAGAAAUGUACAUUUCCACCCACAAAAAUUAAUUUAUGAAAUUUUUUUACGGAUUUGACCGAACGCUUUACCUUAAAAGCUGUUGGAUCAGAUGUUUAGUUUGACAUUUUUGCGAGUCAUAUUGAAAAAUUGCCCAAUUUCGUCUUCAGAAACAUCUACACACACUAGCGGAAUCAUCUUAGACGAACCCGGUGGAACUGGAAAAACAUUCCUCCUGAAUCUUCUUGCGAAGCUGCUGUUGCAGUUGCCUGCUCAGGAAUAGUCUCGACGGCAGCCGAACAGCACACUUUACCUUCAAAUUGCCUUUCAAUGUAGCACAUCAGGAAAACUCAAUGUGCCGAAUAAUGCAUUCCUCGGACGAAGCGACAAUUUUGUAAAAGUGUAAACUCAUUGUUUGGGAUGAAGCAACUAUGUCCCAGAAAUGUUCCCUACAAGCACUUCAUACCACAAUGUGAGACCUUAGAUCAAACAACAACAUCCUUGGAGGUGCGACUCAACUUCUUGCAGGAAAUGUUUGACAAACUCUAUUAUACCCAAACGAACACCGCUGAUGAACAUAAUGCCUGCCUUAAAAAAUCCCUGCUUUGGUCGCAUGUCCAAUCGAAACAACUUACCAUCAACAUGAGAUCACUCCUACAGACUGGUCAGCCUACAACCCAGUUUUCGGCAAUGGACAAAUUACGUCCGAUGACAAUGGAUUCAUCGACACUACCACCAUUUGUCACACUGACUUAUGUUCUGCCGUUUACCCAAAUCUUACAACGGAAUGCAUAAAACCAGACUGGCUUCGUGACAGGGCUGUUCUUGCACCUUCAAAUGCAGCUGUCAACACUCUUAACUACGACUUACUCAGCUACCUUCUCUAGAACAUUGUUACAGAUCAGUUGACACCGUUACCGACCUCGAUCAGGUUACACAAUUUCUAAGAGAAUUUCUCAACUUCCAAGAACCCCCAGGACUCCUUCCCCAUGAACUUCACUUUAAAGUCGGUUGCGCAAACUAAACGCACCCACACUAUACAAUGGAACUCAUCUUGUGGUCAAACAAAUGAUGGACCACGUCAUUGAAGCCCAAAUUAUCACGGACAGGGCAAAAACGAUACCGUUUUCGUUCUGAAAAUUCCGCUAACCCCAACAGACUGCCCCUACACUAUGUAGAGACUUCAAUUCCCUCUGAAACUCAGCUUCGCCAUGACAAUUAACAAAGCACAAGGUUAGUUGCUGAAGUUGUCAGAUUGGACCUUCAAACAUCGUGCUUUUCACAUGGACAGUUCUAUGUCAGUUGUUCCAGAGUUGGCCAUCCAGACAACUUAUUCAUCUAUGCUCCUGAAGGAAAAACCAAAAAUGUCGUUUACAAAACAGCCCUACAGUAGUUAUUCCUCUACUGAAUUCUUCACAUCUACACCAAACUGUAGCCGUUAGCUAUCACACUUCUUGCAAGCAUUUCAUUGAUAUUUUGCUUCAUUCCCCUGAUUGCUGUUAACAGUACAUUACCUUCAAUGACCCCUCUUCGUGCAUGCUCUGGCAUUUAUUUUUGUAUAUGCUAUUUUUCUAUUUGUGUGUUUGCUAUGAACGUUUGCUUUUCUUUAUCAUACAUGACUUUCAUUGAAAAAAAAAAAAAAAGACUUCAAUGCGGUUGUCUGGUAUUACGAGAAAAAUAAGUAAUGAUGCAAAAUGCAUCAAGUAAGAUAUAGGAUUCCUAAUGCCUACUGCAAUUGCAAUCCCAUUUCAUGGACUUUCAUUUAUUACUAACUGCCAAAUUUGCAUUCAAAAAAAUUUAUUCAUUACCUAAGUUUCUUAAUACCAUAUCAUAAACUGCUAACGAAAAUGCUAAUUAUACAUUUUAUGUUUAUCAACUUGAAACGACUUCUAACUGCAGGCUAAUUCAACUUAAACCGUCCACAGGAGUGCACCAUUAUAAUAAUUACACUGUUCAAAGGAGGAGUGCGUUGGCUAGUAUAUAUAAAAUACUUUGUCUCUCUGUCUGUUCCCAAUGCAUUCUCAAACGGCUGAACUAAAUCAAAUCAAAUUUUACAUGGUAAUACUAUCACAUCCCAGGAGUGUCAACAUGUAAUUUUUUUGGAUUAAAACGAUGCAACAUUGGCACUGGUUCUGUAUUACGUGUCAAAACUUGAAGAAUAACAGUGAAAGAAUAACAUCUAUAUUGAAAUCAACACCAGCAAUCCAAUGUCAACCCUUCGCCUUCUGCAACAUUUCAACAGUUCACUUCCCUGACGCCGUCUCCCAUUGCAGCCCAUUUCCAGAAUGUACCCAUUUACGUACAAUAUCUCCAUUAUACCUCCAUUGAUUUCACUGUCAAUCAUAGGAUGGGUUAUGUUAGAUGCAGCGCUGACCCCUCGAAGGCGAGUAUAUCCACUAACAGCUUUUAGAUGGUUUCAAAAAUUACACCUCCACUCCCAAUUUUCCAUGAUUGGUUAGGCCAUAGUCUCCUCCAAACGGACAUAUAUGUUGUUUAGUCGAAUUAGGCCAUCAUUUACUCCACCUAUUUCAACAUAACUGUAAUAUAUAUACAUAUAUACAAACUAUACCAUUUUAAUCCCGAGCAGCGUCGUGUAUCUCUGCUAGUACCUGAUAUAAAAUUUGAUACGGAAAUGAUUCUGUUUUUGGUAUGGCCUACAUAAUUUAAUUGUUACUUUUAUUUAAAACACUGUUACUUCAAGAAUUUAUGGUUAAGCUGAAUCUCAAUUUGCAAUUGUCUCUUUAAUAUAUUCAUAUGACAGAAUUCUUCAUUCUCCUCUAACUUUCCCCAACUGUGCAUCAUUCACAUGCAGCCUAGAUACUACACAUCGAGCCCGCAUUGAUUCCAUAAGCAAAAACUUUGGAAGAAUCCUUCUGUGGAACCAUGCCAACCUUGUCUCUAUUGACAGAAAAAAACCGCUCAAGCACUGCUCGCAUCAAGAAAACAUUACUACACUGCAUCCCCUCCCACCAUCACUAAAAAUGAAGUAUACUUAGCUAGAACUUUUGAAGUUGUUCUGAAUGCCGGGCCUCAUUAUCACUGAGGAUAUCUCCCAGGGAAAACGUCCUUAACAUAACUAGUACUGCAAGCUGGCCCUUCCUUUACGAGUCAGAAAAUAUUUCAGCCCCACAACAGCUGUAGACACUCUACAAGACUCAGGUAAAGCCCAUAAUGGAGUACUGCUGUCACAUCUGGAAUGGUGUUCUUAUACAUCUUGGAGAAGGGCCACUCAGCUAAUUCAUAUUCUAUCACUUAUGGACAUACUCUAGCCUAGUAAGUCUCAACCGGAGUCCAUAUGAUCCGCUUGGUUUUUUUUUUUGCUUUUCGAUCGCCCCUUUGUACAAGUGGUAAAAGUUCAAAUGUACAAAGCGGAGAUCGAAAAGCAAAAAGAAAAAAAAGCGUGUAGCAUGAAGCACAGGCAGUAAACAAAAAUAAAAUAGAACAGAGUGGUGACAUUUAGUAGAGACAACCCAGAAGUUGUUGCUCUUCGAUUACAGCAGAAGUUUUCCGCAAUUGAAUACAUGUUGAUUGGUUAAAAUUAUCCAAAUACGACAACUUUAACACGAAAUAACUUCUAUAAUGCGAAAUUUUGUCAAAAAUGUCGAAAGUAAACCGUGUUCAGCGUGAGAAAUUACACCAGUAUACGAAGUUUCAAACUGUUUAGUUAAAAAAAAAAAAAAGAAUAAUUAAAAAAUCUGUGAGCGAAACUGAAGAGAUUCAGAUUUUGUUAUUAAAACUUGUCUGCAAUAAAUCAUAUUUCUACAUUGCUCA